Molecule: small nuclear RNA, 179 nt
Filed under: Helianthus annuus (common sunflower)
Lineage: Eukaryota; Viridiplantae; Streptophyta; Magnoliopsida; Asterales; Asteraceae
Description: U2 spliceosomal RNA
Rfam family: U2 spliceosomal RNA
About the family: U2 is a small nuclear RNA (snRNA) component of the spliceosome (involved in pre-mRNA splicing).
Source: RNAcentral
AAAGGCCUUUUGGCUAAGAUCAAGUGUACGUCGUGUCUGUUCUUAUCAGUUUAGUAUCUGAUAUGUGGGUUAUCAACCCACUCGAUAUUAAUCUUAUUUUUUAUGGGGGAAGGCCCGCCACUGGGGGUCUUCACGCGUCGCCUUGGGUUUUACACUUUUACACUACCGCCGAGGCCAGA